Hevea brasiliensis (rubber tree) is the source of this 1149-nucleotide long non-coding RNA. RefSeq lists it as uncharacterized. The record is from RefSeq and is a predicted model, not a curated record. NCBI's taxonomy places the organism in Eukaryota, Viridiplantae, Streptophyta, Magnoliopsida, Malpighiales, Euphorbiaceae. The transcript is spliced from 2 exons.
GGGACUAUUGUGUAGAGCUACGUAUUUCCAAUAGUAAAUCGAGAUAAGGAUAAGAUUGUAGAACUAGGAUUAAUAAGACAGACAAAAAAAAAAAAAAAGUAAAGUAUUAUAACACAAAAAGGUGAAAAGACAAGGAGAUAGCGGUCCCUCGAUUAAUUACACUGUGUAAAUUUCGAGGACGAAAUUUUAUUUAGAGGGGAAGAAUUGUAACGUCCUCAUCAAAGGUAGUCCGUACAUUUUACUGUUCUGAUGACUAAUGUCUAUACGGACAAUAAAAAUGUCUGGAACUACACUUAAACUAUAGUGAGGAGGCAUAAAUUAAUGAAAUAAAUAUUAAAAAAAUAUAGGAAAAAUUUUGAGAAAUAAAAUAAAAUUUAGAGAAUUUAUUUAUUUGGUACAAAAAUAAUAAAAAUAACCCGAUAUGCACCAUGAAAGGCAUUUUGGUCAUUUCACCCCUAGAUGUGAAUUUUGACUUAAAUGUCAAAUUAAAAUUUGGAAAUAGAAUAAUUAACAUAAAUUAAUUUUAUGAAUUUGAAAUUGAAAAAUGAGAAGAGAAAGAAGAAGAAAAGAAAAGAAAAGAAAAGGAAAGAAAAGAAAAGAAAGGAAAGAAAAGAAAAGAAAGGAAAUAGAUUUAUGAAAUUUAAAAACAAUAAAGUACACAUAAAUAUAUAUAUAUAAAUACCCACAAGAGACAAAACCCACCAACCCUCUUCUUCUUCCUCUUCUCUCUCCCUCCUUGCCGUCUCCCUUAGUGUCUCCCUCCCUCCAUUUUUGUUCUUCUUAAAGCUUGAUUUUCCAAGCUUUCUCCUCCCCAAAACCCAUAGACCCCUUCACAAAAAAUUUAGCCCACACCAUAAGGAAGCUUUAGAUACCCAUUAGAAGAAGAAAGAUUAAAGUUUGAAGUGGGUCACAAAAGGUACUGAAGAUCAGCAGCCGCCACAGUAGUAUUCGGACAGAGUUCCGACCAGAUCUGCCACCGAUUAGAGUCACCUCAUCAGUCUUUUGUAUUUUGGUAGGGCCCAUGUGUAGACUAGUAUUUUGGUUCAUUAUGUCUAGUCAUGAUGUAAUUACUAGUUUAUGAUGUAUUUUAUUUUGGACUUGAAAUGAAAACUUAUAAUUUAUUAUCUAUAAAUUUCCAUAUGAAUGCAA